Molecule: transfer RNA, 67 nt
Filed under: Papunya picta
Lineage: Eukaryota; Metazoa; Arthropoda; Insecta; Coleoptera; Cerambycidae
Description: tRNA-Tyr
Source: RNAcentral
GGUAAAGUGGCUGAGUUAGGCGAUAAAUUGUAAAUUUAUGAACGAAAUAGGGUUAUUUCUUUUACCA